CACGGACGACUCCCUCAAAAUCACCGACUCCUGCUUCACUCCGCCAUCCGCGACGGAACUCCUCACCGGGCGCCGAGCUUCGGCCGAUCAACGUCCACACGCCGGCGAGCUACGAGGGACAUGGCGACCGGGCACAAGGACUUUCGCAUACUCCCUGUCGGCGCGACCUCACCGGCUAGGGAUUUCGAUGGUGACACGAGAAGGGAAAGACAAGUUCAUUUUUAUAUGAUGGUAUGGGAUCCGUGGAGAUGAGGAUGUCUCCCAAGAUAUGACAGAAGGCCUACGGAUGGAGUAGACGAGGAGGCGGGAUAGACGUAUGGUACUGUCCAAAAGCCUAGGAGUGCAGAGCAUACUGGUUUCAUUGCGAGAGAUUUUUCUUCAUUAUUUGUGAAGAGGGAUGUUUGGGGAAUUAUUGCCCUCAUUCAUUAAACUCUUGUUUGAGAUGCAGUCAUUUUCAUUGGUUAA
Molecule: long non-coding RNA, 465 nt
Organism: Zingiber officinale
Lineage: Eukaryota; Viridiplantae; Streptophyta; Magnoliopsida; Zingiberales; Zingiberaceae
Exons: 2
Source: RefSeq, a predicted model, not a curated record